This is a long non-coding RNA of Spinacia oleracea (spinach), 1322 nucleotides long. RefSeq lists it as uncharacterized. The transcript is spliced from 3 exons. Lineage: Eukaryota; Viridiplantae; Streptophyta; Magnoliopsida; Caryophyllales; Amaranthaceae. The record is from RefSeq and is a predicted model, not a curated record.
CAUUUUUUUGGGGUUUCCCUCUCUUCUCACAUUUUCACUAUCCUGUUUUGCUCCCCCAAACCCGGCCUUAUUCCUUAAACACUAUCUAUAGUUCUACCUCUCUUCGUUCGGUUUCUUCCUCUUCGUCGUUCUCCUUCAUCCUUUCCUUCAUCGUUCUUUGGAGAUUUACGUUUCUGAAUAGUUGAUUGAGUCUUUGAAUUGGAGAUAAGAGAAAUUGGUGAAUCGUGUUUUUGAAUUGGCGAGAAGAACAAGGUUAUUUGUAAAUUUCUCUCCUAAUUUCCUAAUAAAUUUAAGAACUUGGGCUGUUUAUAUUAUUAAUCGAUUAAAGUUGGAUUAUUUUUUUUGUGGUUUUAAGGCUUUAUUAGAGUUUCUUAGUUAGGGAAAUUCGUAUGAUUUUUCUUUCUGGUUUUUUUUAUGCGUGUACGAUUUAAUUACAAAAUUCUUUGUUGAUUUCUCAUUAAAUUUUGGAGAUCGGUCAAUGGUUUUUUUUGGAUGAAUUUAGUUCUGAAUUUUGGUAGAAUUGUUUGAACAAUUAUAUUAAACUGAUUGAGAUUGAUUAUCAGGGGCAGAGGUACACUGUGUCAUCGUGUGUCACGUGACACAAGAUUAUUUUGAAAAAAAUAAAAUAAAAAAUUAAUCAAACCCACGGGAAAGCAGUAAGAGUUUAGAAACCUAAACAUUUUCACGCAAACCCCUCUACAAAUCUUUAGCUGUUGAAUUAUCGUCGACCGUCGCCCAACUCCCAACCGUUGUCUCCUUGUCGGAGUGAUCCGGCACCGUUCCACCGCCGACCGCUGGUCACCCACGAUCCACAAAGAAACAAAGUUACGAGCCAGGGUCACUCAAAGAAACAGCAGCGAAGCAACCAACCGGUUUUGAAGCCGUCGUCGGCUCGUGGCCCACGCUUCUCCACCACCGCACCAAUGGUCGACUCGCCACUUCUCGCUGACUCUUCGUUCCUCGCCGACUCGCCGUUGCAGUUUAGGAACUGGAGAAAAACCCUGGAACCUCGAGAAGCGACUCGUUGAAAUUAGUUUGUUUCACUCAAUUCACCAUAAUAAGGAUGGUAGAUAGAAGGAGAAUGGUAGAUAAAAGGAUUGCAUGAAGGGCAUAGAUUGAAGUUCGUUUGGACUGAUUUGGACAAAUAAAUUAAAUACUAGAUAGAUUUUAGAUUGCUCAAACUAUUAGUUCUUUUUGGAGAUUCAUUAGUUUUCUUAACUGAUGUAUUUAUAUUAUAACAAUGGUUUUUUUUAUUAGAAUGAUUGUUAUGGAUAUUUUAUUUUAAUAAUAAGCAAAACUUAAUUCAAAAUAAAUGUUUUCUA